This 86-nucleotide ribosomal RNA is filed under the name Staphylococcus aureus. Lineage: Bacteria; Bacillati; Bacillota; Bacilli; Caryophanales; Staphylococcaceae. RNAcentral also lists the same sequence under 1 other name. The record is from RNAcentral.
UCUGGUGACUAUAGCAAGGAGGUCACACCUGUUCCCAUGCCGAACACAGAAGUUAAGCUCCUUAGCGUCGAUGGUAGUCGAACUUA